GACGAACGCUGGCGGCGUGCUUAACACAUGCAAGUCGAACGGAAAGGCCCUGCUUUUGUGGGGUGCUCGAGUGGCGAACGGGUGAGCAACACGUGAGUAACCUGUCCUUGACUUUGGGAUAACUUAAGGAAACUGGGGCUAAUACCGGAUAGGAGCUCCUGCUGCAUGGUGGGGGCGGGAAGGUUUAGGCGGUUGGGGAUGGACUAGCGGCUUAUCAGCUCGUUGGGUGGGUAGUGGAUGACCAAGGUCUUGAGGGGUAGCAGGGCUGCGAGGCGGAGAGGCCACACUGGGAUGGAGAUACGACCCAGACUCGACCGGGAGGCAAAGGAGGGGAAGGUUGCAUAGUGGGCGGAGGCCUGAUGCAGCCACGCCGCGUGCGGGAUGACGGGCUUCGGUUUGUAAUGCACUUCCGCUUGUGACGAAGCGUGAGUGACGGUAAUGGGUAAAGAAGCACCGGCUAACUACGUG
Molecule: ribosomal RNA, 468 nt
Filed under: uncultured bacterium
Lineage: Bacteria
Description: partial 16S ribosomal RNA
Rfam family: Bacterial small subunit ribosomal RNA
Source: RNAcentral